UACGGGGGGGGCAAGCGUUGUUCGGAAUUACUGGGCGUAAAGCGCGUGUAGGCGGCUUUUCAAGUCGGACGUGAAAGCCCCAGGCUUAACCUGGGAAUUGCGCUCGAUACUGGAAGGCUUGAGUGCGGGAGAGGGAUGUGGAAUUCCAGGUGUAGCGGUGAAAUGCGUAGAUAUCUGGAGGAACACCGGUGGCGAAGGCGGCAUCCUGGACCGACACUAACGCUGAGGCGCGAAAGCCAGGGGAGCAAACGGG
RNAcentral lists this ribosomal RNA (253 nucleotides) under uncultured bacterium. Its description in RNAcentral is "partial 16S ribosomal RNA". It matches the Rfam family "Bacterial small subunit ribosomal RNA", at positions 524 to 776 of the family's 1533-position model. The record is from RNAcentral.